UUUUUCUGUUAGAUUAAUCUUUACUUGACUUUUCAGACAAUUUUGCCAUUGCCAUCUCUGUAUAGGCCACACCAUACAUUGGGUUAGCAUUACCUUAUACCCUGUCUGCCACUAAGAAACCAACUUGCCCUUAAAGUAUGAAAGCCUGUCAAAAUACAUUUCCUAAAUGGCAGCUCUACAUUUAUAAAUCAAAUAGGCCUACUUUUUUUUUUUUUUUGCAAAGGUUAAGCUUCUACCCCACCAUCACCAAUCCUGCUCACCACAUCAAGUACAUAUCUAACCUCUAUGUUUUGUUCUAUCCUCUGUGAAACAGCCUGAAAAAUGAAGAGGUUGGAGGCAUUGCAGAGGUCACAGACAAAAUUGAAGAGCUGGUUCUUGCAUCUCAGAGUCUCCCGGAUGUCACUUUAGCAAUCAGGGAGCUCACCAGUCUGGCUGCAGUUCAAAGACUGACCCUGACUCAUUCACAGCUACAGGCCAUUAAGCACGGGUUCUCCUGUGCUUUUUGCUUGAAGUUGAUGACAGAGCCACUCUUCACGGAGUGUUGCCAAAACCUCAUUGGCUGCAAAACUUGUGUGGAGGAGUGGCUUAGGAGCUCAGACACCUGUGCAAAAUGUAGGGGAAGUGUUGAAGGAAACAGCAUGUUUGAGGUUAAGGGCCUAUCAGAGGCACUGUCUGUCCUGAGGUCUCUUUUUGAAAAGGAAUAAUAUGUAUUUGUUUACUCACAAACAGGCAGGUAACAAAGUGUUUUUUGUUUUUGUUUUAUUUUUUUUAAAAUUGGGUCAGAGUUCAAACGCCCACUGCCACCAGUUCCACUCAUUUACGUUCUUCUUACAUGCUUUACAAGUGCCAACAAUUUUUUUUACACAUUGCGCCGAGUUGUGGUAAUGAGAAAGAGAAGCGCCUCUUUGUAUGGUGUGAAAUCAUUGUUGACAGCUCUAGACAUCAGUUCAGAAAUGUCAGAAUAUUGUUCUGCAAACUGGUUCUCAGCCAUUAGUUUGUCUUCUUCUGUUAAAAAUGGAUCUACUCCAAAGGUAGAUUGUGGUGUCAGGGAGGAUCCCAGCUGUUGUCUGUAGAGUUCUGCUGCUUCAGCUGAGUGAGGCA
RNAcentral lists this long non-coding RNA (1101 nucleotides) under Gadus morhua (Atlantic cod). RNAcentral describes it as "lncRNA (ENSGMOG00000022440.1)". The record is from RNAcentral. Lineage: Eukaryota; Metazoa; Chordata; Actinopteri; Gadiformes; Gadidae.